GAUGAAGAACGUAGCGAAAUGCGAUAAGUAAUGUGAAUUGCAGAAUUCAGUGAAUCAUCGAAUCUUUGAACGCACAUUGCGCCCUCUGGUAUUCCGGGGGGCAUGCCUGUUCGAGCGUCAUUAUAACCACUUAAGCUCUCGCUUGGUAUUGGGGUUCGCGGUUCCGCGGCCCCUAAAAUCAGUGGCGGUGCCUGUCGGCUCUACGCGUAGUAAUACUCCUCGCGUCUGGGUCCGGUAGGUCUACUUGCCAGCAACCCCCAAUUUUUACAGGUUGACCUCGGAUCAGGUAGGGAUACCCGCUGAACUUAAGCAUAUCAAUAAGCGGAGGA
This 329-nucleotide unclassified non-coding RNA is filed under the name soil metagenome. RNAcentral describes it as "partial contains 5.8S ribosomal RNA, internal transcribed spacer 2, and large subunit ribosomal RNA". The stretch from base 1 to 120 matches the Rfam family "5.8S ribosomal RNA", at positions 35 to 154 of the family's 154-position model. The record is from RNAcentral.